GUUUAAUUCGAUGCAACGCGAAGAACCUUACCUACUCUUGACAUCCAGAGAAUUCGCUAGAGAUAGCGUAGUGCCUUCGGGAACUCUGAGACAGGUGCUGCAUGGCUGUCGUCAGCUCGUGUUGUGAAAUGUUGGGUUAAGUCCCGCAACGAGCGCAACCCUUAUCCUUUGUUGCCAGCGGUUCGGCCGGGAACUCAAAGGAGACUGCCAGUGAUAAACUGGAGGAAGGUGGGGAUGACGUCAAGUCAUCAUGGCCCUUACGAGUAGGGCUACACACGUGCUACAAUGGCGCAUACAAAGAGAAGCGACCUCGCGAGAGCAAGCGGACCUCAUAAAGUGCGUCGUAGUCCGGAUCGGAGUCUGCAACUCGACUCCGUGAAGUCGGAAUCGCUAGUAAUCGUAGAUCAGAAUGCUACGGUGAAUACGUUCCCGGGCCUUGUACACUCCGCC
This 450-nucleotide ribosomal RNA is filed under the name uncultured Gammaproteobacteria bacterium. Its description in RNAcentral is "bacterial SSU rRNA". It matches the Rfam family "Bacterial small subunit ribosomal RNA", at positions 944 to 1394 of the family's 1533-position model. The record is from RNAcentral. Lineage: Bacteria; Pseudomonadati; Pseudomonadota; Gammaproteobacteria.